RNAcentral lists this ribosomal RNA (490 nucleotides) under uncultured bacterium. RNAcentral describes it as "bacterial SSU rRNA". It matches the Rfam family "Bacterial small subunit ribosomal RNA", at positions 903 to 1397 of the family's 1533-position model. The record is from RNAcentral.
AAAGGAAUUGACGGGGGCCCGCACAAGCAGUGGAGUAUGUGGUUUAAUUCGAAGCAACGCGAAGAACCUUACCAGGUCUUGACAUCCAUGUAACCCUUCAGAGAUGAGGGGGCGCCCUUCGGGGAAACAUGAGACAGGUGGUGCAUGGUUGUCGUCAGCUCGUGUCGUGAGAUGUUGGGUUAAGUCCCGCAACGAGCGCAACCCUUGUUUUUAGUUGCUACGCAAGAGCACUCUAAAGAGACUGCCGUUGACAAAACGGAGGAAGGUGGGGACGACGUCAAAUCAUCAUGCCCCUUAUGACCUGGGCUACACACGUACUACAAUGGCCGUUAACAACGGGAAGCGAAGCCGCGAGGUGGAGCAAAACCCCAAAAACGGUCUCAGUUCGGAUUGCAGGCUGAAACCCGCCUGUAUGAAGUCGGAAUUGCUAGUAAUCGCAGAUCAGCAUGCUGCGGUGAAUACGUUCCCGGGCCUUGUACACACCGCCCGU